UUAGUGUUUUUUUUUAUGAUUUUUUAUCUAAUUGGUGUGCUAUUAUGCUAAACAUGUGAUUAUCUCUCUCAAUUUUCAUAGUUUUUUUUUCUUUUCUCCCCUCCUGAAUUUUAAAAUCCACCCCUUAAUAUAUGCCUAAAAAUAGGGGUAGAUGAAUAGUUGAAUUCCAAAAAUGUCACCCCUAACUUACCCUAACAUGCCACCUAGUGUAGGGUUG
This 217-nucleotide long non-coding RNA is filed under the name Linum usitatissimum (flax). RNAcentral describes it as "long non-coding RNA (LUSI_LNC003772)". The record is from RNAcentral. Lineage: Eukaryota; Viridiplantae; Streptophyta; Magnoliopsida; Malpighiales; Linaceae.